RNAcentral lists this non-coding RNA (214 nucleotides) under Draconibacterium orientale. Lineage: Bacteria; Pseudomonadati; Bacteroidota; Bacteroidia; Marinilabiliales; Prolixibacteraceae. The record is from RNAcentral.
AAGUAUUAAGUUGCUAAUGUUCAUUGUAAACAAUGAAAUGAAAAUGAUGCAAGGGAAUGCUGUGUAAAUCAGCAACUGUACCCGCAGCCGUAAUCCCGCAAUUACCGCAAGGUAAUACAUGUUUUCAGUACAUAGCCACUGGUCCAAUUCUCUCGACUGGGAAGGCGCUGAAAAUCGGGAAAGUCGGAAGACCUAUCAUUUUUUGAUUGUUUCG